Molecule: long non-coding RNA, 2135 nt
Organism: Heterocephalus glaber (naked mole-rat)
Lineage: Eukaryota; Metazoa; Chordata; Mammalia; Rodentia; Bathyergidae
Source: Ensembl
GCAUUAGUUGGAACCUGAUUUUCCCUAAACUGACGGCGUGGGUUUCUGCCUGGGGGCUGUUGAUCUUAGGAGGAAAAGCAGUUAAGAAAGCCCAGGUGGAGAGAGCCUUGGAAUUGAGGACAUUUUACGUGGGGGAGCAGGUGACUCUCCUUCCUAACACAGUCAUUUGAGGGAAACCCAGCCUGUCAGUGAGAGGCUAAGCUCAGAAACACACUCUGUGUUCAAGCUCUUACUUGGCCACUUACUAAUUGUAUGGUUUUGGGAUCUCACUUAUUUCUCGUUUGGAAUGUGGAAAGUGGGAAUAACGUGAAUAAAAUCCUUUCCUGUAAGAUACGUAUGGGACAAAGUUCUACACAGAGCGGGCAAGAAAGCCUGGGCCAACAAGUUCAAGAUAGAAGAGCCGGUGAGGACGAGUUAGAUGAGCACCCGAGACUUCUGAAACCCCAGAUCCUCUUCCCGUUGUGCCAGAGCUGCCUGGACUUCCUGGGUGACAUAAGCUGAGUUCCUUGGCAAGGCUGGCCUCGGUUUCUCUCAGAUGAGAAGGUGAAGAUCUGAGCAAUCCCGCGUAAGGCAUUUUGUGGAAUCCUACCAUGAUUAAACUCAACACCUCUGGGAAGAGGAGGGCAUGAGACUGAGCCUUGACUUACCCACUAUGAAAGAACUUGACUAGCUCUUAACCACUGCAAACUUCAAUUUCGUCACCUGGAAAAUGAAAGCAAAUUUAUCUGUCUCAUAGGGUUGUUUGGAUUUUCCUAGAUAAAGCGUAUGGCCAAUAUCUAGCAUAUCAUGCAGUGCUCGGGCAAUAUUAGUGUUGUUAUCUCCAGUUUACAAAUGCAGACUGGGAGGCCUCAGCAGAGUAAGUGGCAUGUUCAGAGUCACCUAGGUGGAAAGCAUAGGAACCACAGCUCAAGGUCAAGUGUGAUUGACAGCAGUGUCCUUGCUCUUAAUCACAGGCAUCCUGCCAGAAGUGGACAAUUUCCUCAGGAAGCCUUGCUCAGCUGGGAUGAUAGGGACAGGUUGGGUCCUCAGUCUUCCUUAAGAAGCAGAAACUUCUAGGCUGGAAGUGUAGAGGAGAGGACCCUGGGACAGCCAAGUCAUGCAGAAUUAUGGCUGGCAUCAAGGACAUGUGUCUUUGGUGUUGUUUGUUGCUCUGGGUGGUGAGGUACCCAAAGAGGCCACCUCAUCAGUGCAUUGCUUUAAUCUUGACUCGCCCUGUCGUCAGUCCUUAGAAGGAUGUCGGAAAGGACUGGACUUACUGUGUCACUCCAUAGGAUGCAGCCUGUCCAGUUACAGGUGGAAUAGUCUAUGCUGCAAGGAUGUCCUUUCCCUCUGUCCACCAGUUCACCCUCUUUCUUAUCUCCCUCUCUCUCUUUCUCUGCCUGGCUCUCACUCUUGCUCUGUCUCAGACAUCUAAUGGAAAGAACUAGUUGCAGUCUAGUAUAUUUUGUAAAAUAUAUUUUGAUUUUUAAUUGAUUAUAGUAAUUAUCCAUAUUUAUAGGGUACAGUGUGACAUUAUAAUACAUGUAUACAAGAUGUAUUAAUCAGGCCAGAGUAAUUGGUGUACCUAUUAUCUGAGACAUUUGUCCAUUCUUUGCUUUAGGAACAUUCAAGAUCCUCUCUAAUAGCUAUUUUAAAUUAUUCAAUUAAUUAUUGUCAACUUAAUUAAUCUAUUGUGCUAUAGAACACAAAAAGUUAUUAGUCCUAUACAGCUGCACCCAGUAAGCAUACUGUCUCCCACAUCUUUUCCAGGCUCUGGUAUCCACUGUUCUUUACUUCUAUGAGAUCAACUUUUUAGCUUCUACUAAUGAAUUGGAACAUGCAUUAUUUAUCUUUCCAUGUCUGACUUAUUCCAUUUAACCUGAUGUCCUCUAGUUCCAUCUGUGUUGCUCCAAAUGUCCAAAUUUCCUUUUUUGACUGGGUAAUAUUUCAUUUUGUAUAUAUGCCACAUUUUCUUUAUCUCCUUAUCCAUCACCAUCAACUUAGGUUUAGUUCAUUUGUUGGCUGCUGUGAAUAGACCCAUAGUAAACAACACAGGACAGGUUAUCUCUUCCACACUCUGUUUUCAGUUACUUUGAAUAUAUAGCAACGGGUGGGAUUCCUGGAUCAUAUGGUAAUUCUAUUUCUAGUUUUCUGAG